CUGAACAGAGACUGAAUAGGCAAUGAACAAGGUGAUUAGUGGAAGGGAUUCAGUGACUAUUUUGGCUCCCCACCAAAACAUUAGUUUUGCCCCUAUAAUCAGGGAGUGGAGGAGCCAAGAUGGUGAUGGAACAGACACCUGUUUUAGAGCCUCAGUCUUAAAUCACUAUUUUUUUCCACCUGAGAAGAUCUCAGCCUUUAAAAAGAAUCUUCACUGCCUAUGGGGGAAACUCCUGGCAGCUCCUUUGUGGUGAUUAUCCAGCUUUUGGAAGAGCAGAAAGUGAAUAAGAGAUCCAUACCAGUGGCUUGGAGGAGCUCAGAACUGGGUGAAGCAGCAUGAUCAACACUUCCAAGAUGAUCUAGAUUGUGGGAAAAGCUUAAGAGGACGGACAUUGACAGACAGCUUCUCAGGUUACUGAUUGAACUGCACUCUAAUCUCAUGGCCAGGCUUCCCAUCCUGGAGCUCACAAUAAUUGAUUACGCCUACACUGACUGCUCUGUCAGAGCUGGUGAAAGCAACAGACUUAAAGGUAUGGAAUUUCUUGACAGCACUGUCCUCUGUUCAAUUCCUAGAUAACAUUACAGCCAAACAGUUCUAUCCGAAGACAGAUGCUCUGAUUCCAAUCUUUAGGAAUGAUCCGAAUGAACCUGGAAAAUAUAGGAGGGCUGAAGACGUGCUUGAUCUGACUGCUGCUGUUAAUGUUUCCUGUAAAUACCUGAAAAUAAAUCAUUUUAAUUUAUGAAA
Hemicordylus capensis (graceful crag lizard) is the source of this 744-nucleotide long non-coding RNA. RefSeq lists it as uncharacterized. Lineage: Eukaryota; Metazoa; Chordata; Lepidosauria; Squamata; Cordylidae. The transcript is spliced from 4 exons. The record is from RefSeq and is a predicted model, not a curated record.